AUUGAACGCUGGCGGAAUGCUUUACACAUGCAAGUCGAACGGCAGCACGGGGGCAACCCUGGUGGCGAGUGGCGAACGGGUGAGUAAUGCAUCGGAACGUACCCAAUCGUGGGGGAUAACUGGCCGAAAGGUCAGCUAAUACCGCAUACGUCCUGAGGGAGAAAGCAGGGGAUCGCAAGACCUUGCGCGAUUGGAGCGGCCGAUGUCUGAUUAGCUAGUUGGUGGGUAAGAGCCUACCAAGGCGACGAUCAGUAGCUGGUCUGAGAGGAUGAUCAGCCACACUGGGACUGAGACACGGCCCAGACUCCUACGGGAGGCAGCAGUGGGGAAUUUUGGACAAUGGGCGCAAGCCUGAUCCAGCCAUUCCGCGUGAGUGAAGAAGGCCUUCGGUUGUAA
Molecule: ribosomal RNA, 396 nt
Filed under: uncultured bacterium
Lineage: Bacteria
Description: bacterial SSU rRNA
Rfam family: Bacterial small subunit ribosomal RNA
Source: RNAcentral